This is a long non-coding RNA of Ictalurus punctatus (channel catfish), 1288 nucleotides long. Lineage: Eukaryota; Metazoa; Chordata; Actinopteri; Siluriformes; Ictaluridae. The record is from Ensembl.
GUGCGGGUUUAGUUUUGUGUGGGUUUAGUUGAGUGCGGGUUUAGCUGAGUGCGGGUUUAGUUGAGUGCGGGUUUAGUUUUGUGUGGGUUUAGUUGAGUGCGGGUUUAGUUGAGUGAGGGUUUAGUUUUGUGUGGGUUUAGUUUUGUGUGGGUUUAGUUGAGUGCGGGUUUAGUUGAGUGCGGGUUUAUUUUUUGCGGGUUUAGUUGAGUGCGGGUUUAGUUUUGUGUGGGUUUAAUUGAGUGCGGCUUCAGCUGAGUGUGGGUUUAAUUGAGUGCGGGUUUAUAAACUUGCAGAGUUUUUGCGCCUUUUUUGCGGAAAACUACUCGAGUCGGCGAAAUCGCAAUCGCACAAAAUCGUUUUGCGUGGCCUUUCACGGUGAUGUUUGUCGGGAAACGAGGCCUUUUAGCUGUACUCAGGUUCGAAGCACAUGAAGCGAAGAGUGCUUCAGCUUGACGUGUACCGUGACGAUGUCAUGUGACACGUCUCGGCCGGGAUCUGCGGAAAAUCUGCGGUAAUUAAAAAAAAUUUAAAUCUCCUCGAUUUUGUGUUAAUUUCCGCGAUCGCAAAAUCGCGAAAUCCUGGAGGGACUGAUUUAUGUUUAGAGUAAUUGGGCAAUUUGCUGUGGUCUAAGAGGAACAUAACAUUCCAUUUCAGAUGACUAUAGAAAAAAACUACUUUGGAGCGGUAACACUGACUCCAGUUAUUAACAGUGACUCCACUAUCGUACGGUUAGAACCUCGCCGAUGAUUCCAGACUUUUGUUGUUGUUGUUGUUUGGUUUUUUUGGUUUUUUUUGUGGGUUUAUUUUGGUCACGCAUGUGAAGUAAAAUCCUGUGACUCAGCGUCAGAGCCCCGCUGUGCUCCAGCUCCUCUUCUCGGGAACAAGGCUUUCCUUUGUUCCGCUGGAAGAUGGACGAGUGCGCUGGCAUGCUAAUGAGAGACAACAAAGCGACCCGGGACGGACCGUCGCCACGGCAACCGGCCCCGCACCAGGACGCUGAUGCAUUCAGGACACAUUUGUUAUGAGCCCAUGGGGGUUUACUCGGCUUCACAUUCAAACCCGAGAACAGAGAGUGCAACAACAAUGGACUGCUGGGAGAACGCGCACGCUCGGUACGUUCAGCUCACGCCGAUAACGCGGAGACAAUUCACUCGGACGCAGCACACGCGUGCAUCGCUACUGAGGUGGAAAUCACAACAACAAAAAGAAAAAAGAAAAAAGCCAGAACAAAUAAAUAAUCCUCUUUUUUUUUUUUUAAAGUAGUAAACGUAAUAAAAAAGUAAUGGUA